RNAcentral lists this ribosomal RNA (421 nucleotides) under uncultured bacterium. Its description in RNAcentral is "bacterial SSU rRNA". It matches the Rfam family "Bacterial small subunit ribosomal RNA", at positions 356 to 773 of the family's 1533-position model. The record is from RNAcentral.
AGGGAAUAUUGGACAAUGGGCGGAAGCCUGAUCCAGCCAUGCCGCGUGGAGGAAGAAUGCCCUCUGGGUUGUAAACUCCUUUUGAAAGGGAAGAAACCUCUCUAUUUAUGGAUGAGCUGACGGUACCUUUCGAAUAAGCACCGGCUAACUCCGUGCCAGCAGCCGCGGUAAUACGGAGGGUGCAAGCGUUAUCCGGAUUUACUGGGUUUAAAGGGUGCGUAGGCGGGCCGAUAAGUCAGUGGUGAAAUACCCGUGCUCAACAUGGGAAUUGCCAUUGAUACUGUUGGUCUUGAAUAUGAGUGAGGCAGGCGGAAUGAUGCAUGUAGCGGUGAAAUGCUUAGAUAUGUUUCAGAACACCUAUUGCGAAGGCAGCUUGCUAAUUCAUGAUUGACGCUGAGGCACGAAAGCGUGGGGAGCAAAC